ACUUGUCCGUUUCAACAAUUCUCAACACAACAAGAUCUCUGUAACCAAUGCAAAUAAAUCAUAAGUUAUUUUCAACUACACUCACCAAUCUAAAAAGAACAAAUUAAAAAAAUCCAAAUUAUGUAACGUAAUACUAAGCAACGUAGUACUCAUCCAACCGAAUUAAAAAAAUAUAUCGUCGAGAAAUUAAUUGAGACUUGCAAUUUCAAUAUUCGUUUAUAUACGUAGGUAUAUUGGCAUCCAUGUGUAUGUCAGACCAAUAUCUAGUUAUUUGAUAAAGGUUUUAGUAUGUUCAGAGAGUAAAUUUUAUAGCAAUUGAGAUUGAUUCUAGAUUUUUUAUCAUGAAUUGGCACCAAUUACUCCUCCUGUUGAUCGUGAUGCAAUGCAGCUUGCUGGCGUGGUGUGCACCGUCAGGGAACCAUAUUUUCUGUGAUGACUACAAAGUUAAGGCUGUAACAGAAAACAAUGAGAGACUGAAGUUGACUACGGCGAGACAAGAAGAAAACUCGGAUGAUGACGGGUUGAACGAUGAAAAACCGUCUUUGUGGUGUUGACUUUUCUACUUAGUGACGAUGGUGUGGUCGAGCGAAGACGGUCGCCGAUCGUUCACGAUCAAACGAGAUUCGCUUUUCAGCCUGUUCGGAAGAGAGCAUAAACCUCGGAAAAUCAACCACUUUGGCCACUUACCUUCAUUAGUUAAAGGAAAAUAAACUAUUCAAAACUGUACAAUUUUUUUACAAUUUUUUCUUACAAGCUAUGAAGCUACGAUUCGCUGCCAUGGGAAUUACAGGAAAAUCACUAUGCUCCAUGUUAUAACCCUGUAUACGA
This is a long non-coding RNA of Plodia interpunctella (Indianmeal moth), 828 nucleotides long. RefSeq lists it as uncharacterized. The transcript has 3 exons. NCBI's taxonomy places the organism in Eukaryota, Metazoa, Arthropoda, Insecta, Lepidoptera, Pyralidae. The record is from RefSeq and is a predicted model, not a curated record.